Molecule: ribosomal RNA, 119 nt
Organism: Scophthalmus maximus (turbot)
Lineage: Eukaryota; Metazoa; Chordata; Actinopteri; Pleuronectiformes; Scophthalmidae
Source: Ensembl
GCUUACGGCCACACCGCCUGGUUCAAGCCCGAUCUCGUUUGAUCUCGGAAGAUAAGAUAGGGUGGGCCUGGUUAGUACUUGGAUGGGAGACCGCCUGGGAAUACCAGGUGCUGUAAGCU